CCUACGGGGGGCUGCAGUGGGGAAUAUUGCACAAUGGGCGCAAGCCUGAUGCAGCCAUGCCGCGUGUGUGAAGAAGGCCCUCGGGUUGUAAAGCACUUUCAGCGGGGAGGAAGGCGUUAAGGUUAAUAACCUUGUCGAUUGACGUUACCCGCAGAAGAAGCACCGGCUAACUCCGUGCCAGCAGCCGCGGUAAUACGGAGGGUGCAAGCGUUAAUCGGAAUUACUGGGCGUAAAGCGCACGCAGGCGGUCUGUCAAGUCGGAUGUGAAAUCCCCGGGCUCAACCUGGGAACUGCAUUCGAAACUGGCAGGCUAGAGUCUUGUAGAGGGGGGUAGAAUUCCAGGUGUAGCGGUGAAAUGCGUAGAGAUCUGGAGGAAUACCGGUGGCGAAGGCGGCCCCCUGGACAAAGGCUGACGCUCAGGUGCGAAAGCGUGGGGAGCAAACAGGAUUAGAUACCCGAGUAGUC
This 465-nucleotide ribosomal RNA is filed under the name uncultured Klebsiella sp. RNAcentral describes it as "bacterial SSU rRNA". It matches the Rfam family "Bacterial small subunit ribosomal RNA", at positions 338 to 795 of the family's 1533-position model. The record is from RNAcentral. Lineage: Bacteria; Pseudomonadati; Pseudomonadota; Gammaproteobacteria; Enterobacterales; Enterobacteriaceae.